Molecule: transfer RNA, 87 nt
Filed under: Clostridia bacterium
Lineage: Bacteria; Bacillati; Bacillota; Clostridia
Description: tRNA-Leu
Rfam family: tRNA
About the family: Transfer RNA (tRNA) molecules are approximately 80 nucleotides in length. Their secondary structure includes four short double-helical elements and three loops (D, anti-codon, and T loops).
Source: RNAcentral
GCGGUCAUGGCGAAAUUGGCAGACGCGUAAGAUUCAGGUUCUUAUGAGCAAUAGUUCAUGCAGGUUCAAGUCCUGUUGACCGCACCA